UGGAGGGCCCAUGUGUACACAUAUCCGCCGUCGAAGGCUAAAAAAAAAUACUUAAAAAAACAUGCUAAAAAAGAACUAUUUCGAAGUUGUAAACAACUAGGAAACAGAACUGUCUGUCCACCCACUGCAGUGCGUCCAUCGGCUAAUAUAGGUGUCCCAAAAUUUAUUGUUGAUGUAAGGCAUCUAUCCUUUCUUCUCUUUUAUACUCCUCUCUGAUAAUCUGAGAUAAUUUUAUGAACUAUACCAUUUAACUUCCCUCGUGAUCAUACAGAGCCGCAAUAACGUCUUGGUUCACAAAUACUCCCAUCAAUUGUAGACCGAAUUUGUUCUCCACCAUUUUGUUUGCACAAGUCAUAAUUAGCAAAACAAUCCCUCAACGCUCUAGUGUCUUGAUCAGUUACAUAACUUCCUCGUCUUUUUUAGUCUUCGAUGACGAAUGUGUAUACAUGGGGCUUCCAUCUACCUGUAAAGAUAAUCACGAGCGACACUAGAUUAAAUCUUAACAAAAAAAAUAUUUUUUCUAAAUGAAAAGUAAAAGAUCCUUAACAAACAUUGCCAAAUGUUGGUCUCAAAUUUAGGAAGUAGAUUAAGCAUAGCUUCGACAUUUGCAAAAUAUAUUUUUCGGGAACUACAUAAAGGUCUUUCACCCUAGGACCCCGUCUAUUCAACCUGAAUAGGAAAUACAGAAGCAAAGCUUAAUAAAAUAGGAUAUUGCUGAAAUAUUUUCCUCAUAUCCAGUCACAUAGGCUCUUGCUGUAAUAUUGUGUUUUUUAGUUUUUUAAUAGUUGGUAGUUUGUAUUACCUUCGAGAGGUAGCAUCUGAGGAGUUAUUCCACUACAAACUUGAAUUGUAUUUGAUUUUUAGACCGAACAAACUACAUGAACAUGAUCUGCAGGAAGAUAAAAGGGAAAAUUUACGAAAACAAGCCCCAUAUAUUAGAACAAUCUUGUAAUUGCAAACAAAUUAGCAGUUUUUAUAUAAACAAGACUGGAAAACUUACAUUUAUCAUGUCCAGUGCAUACACGUCCUUAAGGAACUCAGCAAGAUUAGCAUAGUCGUUACUAAAUGAAAACCCAAGCUUGAGUGUCUCGUUGUUUGUGUAUAUGAACCUUAGAAUGUCAAAUAUUGGUUGUUGCGGCAAUUUCAAACCAUCCAACAAAAAAAUUUUGUAUUCUUCAUUGUUCUUGCUCCCACGUUUAAUUUCGAGUUGUAUCAAUGACAUUACAGGAUAUCAACUGCUUUUUAUUGUCAUAAACCACUCCGUAUCUAUUCCAAUAAACGUUGUCUCUGCGAUGCACGCUUUGAUCUUAUCAAAGAGGUCCGACGAAAAUUCCUCAACAAGAUCAUACUGGUACUCACGUAACAAGGGAAGGUUAUUGGGGUUUUCUUGUCCAUCUUCUUUUCCUCCUGUUUCACCUUCCGUCGAGGCUAGUGGAGGUUCGGUGGGUUGAACUCUCUCGGAAGCAGAGAUUAUAUAUUUCCCGCACGUGAGAGUUCAUCUAAGAUGUCAUAAAAAAUAAAAAAUGUAAUAUUUCAUGAUGAGCUAGUGGAUAUAUAGCAGAUAGGCAAGUCGAUAUAUUAUUUCAUGAUGUGCUAGUGGAUAUAUAGCAGAUAGGCAGAUAGACACAUGCUAGUGGAUAUAUUAUUUCAUGAUGUGCUAGUGGAUAUAUAGCAUAUAAGCAAAAAUAUUAUAUUUUUCAUUUUCUGUGACAUAUUAGAUGAACUCUCACGUGCGGGAAAUGAAUUAUAUUCUCUGUUUUUGAGAGAGUUCAACACACCUAACCUCCACUACCCUCGACGGAAGGAGGUGAAACAGGAGAAAAAGAAGAUGGACAAAGAAAUCCCAACAACCAUUCUUUUUUACGUGAGUACCAGUAUGAUCUUGUUGAGAAAAAUUUUCGUAGGACGUUUUUGAUAAGAUCAAAGCGUGCAUCGCAGAGGUAUCAUUUAUUGUUAUAGAUACUGAGUGGUUUAUGAUAAUAGAAAGCAGUAGAUAUCUUAUAGUGUCAUUGAUACAACUCAAAAUUAAAAGUGGGAGUAAGAACAAUGAAGAAUACAAGAUCUUUUUAUUGGAUUGUUUGAAAUUGUCGCAAUAACCAAUAUUUGACAUUCUAAGGUUCAUAUACACAAACAACGAGACACUCAAACUUGGGUUUUUAUUUAAUAACGACUACGCUAAUCUUGUUGAGUUCCUUAAGGACGUGUGUGCAUUGGACAUGAUAAAUGUAAGUUUUCCAGUCUUGUUUACUUAAAAACUGGUAAUUUGUUUGGAAUUACAUGUUUGUUCUAAUAUUCAAGGCUUGUUUUCGCAGAUUUUCCUUUUUAUCUAAGUGCAGACCAUGUUCAUGCAGUUUGUUCAGUCCAAAAAUCAAAUACAAUUCAAGUUUGUAGUGGAACAACUCCUCUGAUGCUACCUCUUGAAGGUAAUGCAAACUGCCAACUAUUAGAAACUAAAAAAAUUGCAAUAUUACAGCAAGAGCCUAUGUUACUUGAUAUGCGGAAAAUAUUUCAGCAAUAGCCUAUUUCAUUAAGCUUUGUUUUUGUUUUUCCUAUCCAGGUUGAAUAGACGGGGUCCUGGGAUGAAAGACUUUUGAGUAAUUCCCAAAAAAUAUAUGCUGCAAAUGUCGAAGUUAUACUUGACCUACUUCCUAAAUUUGAGACCAACAUUUUGUAAUGUUUGUUAAGGUCUUCUUACUUUUUCAUUUAGAAAAAAUAUAUUUUUUGGUUAAGGUUUAAUCUAGUGUCGCUCAUGGUUAUCUUUACAGAUGGAUAAAGGGCCCAUGUGUACACAUAUUCACCGUCGAAGGCUAAAAAAAUUACUUAAAAAAAUAUGCUAAAAAAGAACUAUUUCGAAGUUGUAAACAACUAGGAAACAGAACUGCUUGUCCACCCACUGCAGUGCGUCCAUCAUCUAAUAUAGGUGUCCCAAAAUUUAUUGUUGAUGUAAGGCAUCCAUCCUCUCCUCUUUUAUAUUCCUCUCUAAUAAUCUGAGAUAAUUUUAUGAACUAUACAAUCUGACUUCCCUCGUGAUCAUACAGAGCCACAAUAACGUCUAUGUUCACAAAUACAUGAAUUGUAGACCGAAUUUGUUCUCCACCAUUUUGUUUGCACAAGUCCAUAAUUCGCAAAUUAAUUCCUUAACGCUCUAGUGUCUUGAUCAGUUACAUGACUUUCAUCGUCUUUUUUAGCCUUCAACGGCGGAUAUGUUUACACAUGGGCCCUCUAUCCAUCUGUAAAGGUAAUCAUGAGUGACACUAGAUUAAACCUUAACAAAAAAAAUUUCUUUUCUAAAGGAAAAAGUAAGAGUCACUUAACAAACAUUGCCAAAUGUUGGUCUCAAAUUUAGGAAGUAGAUUAAGUAUAGCUUUGACAUUUGCAGCAUAUAUUUUUUGGGAAUUACUCAAAGGUCUUUCACCCCAGGACACCGUCUGUUCAACCUGGAUAGGAAAUAAGGCAGCAAAGCUUAAUGAAAUAGGCUAUUGCUGAAAUAUUUUCCUCAUAUCCAGUCACAUAGGCUCUUGUUGUAAUAUUGCGUUUUUUAGUUUCUAAUAGUUGGCAGUUUGCAUUACCUUCGAAAGGUAGCAUCUGAGGAGUUGUUCCACUAUAAACUUGAAUUGUAUUUGAUUUUUGGACUGAACAAACUGAAUGAACAUGGUCUGCCUUUAGAUAAAAGGGAAAAUCUGCGAAAAAAGCCCCGAAUAUUAGAACAAUCAUGUAAUUGCAAACAAAUUAUUAGUUUUUAUGUAAACAAGACUGGAAAACUUACAUUUAUCAUGUCCAGAACACACGUCCUUAAGGAACUCAGCAAGAUUAGUGUAGUCGUUACUAAAUAAAAACUCAAGCUUGAGUGUCUUGUUGUUUGUGUAUAUGAGCCUUAGAAAAAUAUUGGUUGUUACGGCAAUUUAAAACAAUCCAACAAAAAGAUUUUGUAUUCUUCAUUGUUCUUGCUCCUAUUUUUAAUUUUAUGUUGUAUCAAUGACAGAUAUCUACUGCUUUCUAUUGUCAUAAACGACUCAAUAUCUAUUGCAAUAAACUCUGUCUCUGCGAUACACACUUUGAUCUUAUCAAAGAGGUCCAACGAAAAUUUCUCAAUAAGAUCAUACUAGUACUCACGUAACAAGGGAAGGUAGUUGGAGUUUUCUUGUCCAUCUUCUUUUUCUCUUGUUUAACCUCCUUCCGUUGAGGCUAGUGGAGGUUCGGUGAGUUGAACUCUCUCGGAAGCAGAAGCAAUAUAAUUCACUUUCCGCACGUGAGAGUUCAUCUUAAGAUGUCACAGAAAAUAAAAAACGUAAUAUUUUAUGAUGUGCUAGUGGAUAUAUAGUAGAUAGGCAUGUGCUAGUGGAUAUAUUAUUUCAUGAUGUGCUAGUGGAUAUAUAGCAGAUAGGUAAUAUAAUUUAUUUUCCGCACGUGAGAGUUCAUCUAAGAUGUCAUAGAAAAAAAAUGUAAUAUUUCAUGAUGUGCUAGUGGAUAUAGCAGAUAGGUAAGUGGAUAUAUUAUUUCAUGAUGUUCUAGUGGAUAAAUAGCAGAUAGGUAGAUAAAUAUGUGCUAGUGGAUAUAUUAUUUCAUGAUGUGUUAGUGGAUAUAUAGCAAAUAGGCAAAAAUAUUGCCUUUUUCAUUUUCUGUAACGUCUUAGAUGAACUCUCACGUGCGGAAAAUGAAUUAUAGUGCCUCUGCUUUCAAGAGAGUUUUAACUCACCGUUCCUCCACUAACCUCGAUGGAAGGAUGUGAAACAGGAAAAAAGAAGAUGGACAAAAAAACCCCAACAACCAUCCCUUGUUAUGUGAGUACCAGUAUAAUCUUGUUGAGGAAUUUAUGUCGGACCUCUUUGAUAAGAUUAAAACGUGCAUCGCAGAGGUAGCGUUUAUUACAAUAAAUACUGAGUGAUUUAUGACAAUAAAAAACAGUAGAUAUCCUGUAGUGUCAUUGAUACAACUCAAAAAUAAAAGUUGGAGCAAGAACAAUGAAGAAUACAGAAUUUUUUUGUUGGAUUAUUUGAAAUUGCCGCAACAACCAAUAUUUGACAUUCUAAGGUUCAUAUACACAAACAACGAGACACUUAAGCUUGAGUUUUUAUUUAGUAACAAUUACGCUAAUCUUGCUGAGUUCCUUAAGGACGUGUGUACUCUGGACAUAAUAAAUGUAAGUUUUCCAGUCUUGUUUACAUAAAAUCUGAUAAUUUGUUUGCAAUUACAUGAUUGUUCUAAAAUCCUGGUCUUGUUUUCGCAGAUUUUGCCUUUUAUCUAAUUGCAGACCAUGUUUAUGCAGUUUGUUCAGCCCAAAAAUCAAAUACAAUUCAAGUUUGUAGUGAAACAACUCCUCAAAUGCUACCUCUUGAAGGUAAUGCAAACUGCUAACUAUUAGAAACUAAAAAAAAACGUAAUAUUACAAUAAGAGCCUAUGUGACUGGAUUUGAGGAAAAUAUUUCAGCAAUAGCCUAUUUCAUUAAGCUUUGCUUUCGUAUUUCCUAUCCAGGUUGAGCAGACGGGUCCUGGGUGAAAGACUUUUGAGUAGUUCCCCAAAAAUAUAUGCUGCAAAUGUCGAAGUUAUGCUUGAUUUACUUCCUAAAUUUGAGACCAACAUUUGAUGGAUGGAGGGCCCAUGUGUACACAAAUCCGCCAUCGAAGGCUAAAAAAUUACUUAAAAAAACAUGCUAAAAAAGAACUAUUUCGAAGUUGUAAACAACUAGGAAACAGAACUGCCUACCACUGCAGCGCGUCUACCAGCCAAUAUAGGUGUCCCAAAAUUUAUUGUUGAUGUAAGGCAUCCAUCCUUUCUUCUCUUUUAUAUUCAUCUCUGAUAAUCUGAGAUAAUUUUAUGACCUAUACAAUUUGACUUCCCUCAUGAUCAUACAGAGCCACAAUAACGUCUAUCUUCACAAAUACUCCAUGAAUUGUAGACCGAAUUUGUUCUCCACCAUAAUAUUUGCACAAGUCCAUAAUUAUCAAAACAAUCCCUUAACGCUCUAGUGUCUUGAUCAUUUACAUGACUUCCUCGUUUUUUAGCCUUUGACGAGGGAUAUGUUUACACAUGGGCUGAUGGGCCAUCCAUCCAUCUUUAAAGAUAAUCAUGAGUGACACUAGAUUAAACCUUAAAAAAAAUAUUUUUUCUUAAUGAAAAAGUAAGUCCCUUAACAAACAUUGCCAAAUGUUGGUCUCAAAUUUAGGAAGUAGAUCAAACAUAGCUUCGACAUUUGCAACAUAUAUUUUUAGGGAAUUAUUCAAAGGUCUUUCACCCCAGGACCCCGUCUGUUCAACCUGGAUAGAAAAUACGGUAGCAAAGCUUAAUGAAAUAGGCUAUUGCUGAAAUAUUUCCUCAUAUCCAGUCACAUAGGCUCUUGCUGUAAUAUAUUGUUUUUUUAGUUUCUAAUAGUUGUCAGUUUGCAUUACCUUCGAGAGGUAGCAUCUGAGAAGUUGUUCCACUACAAACUUGAAUUGUAUUUGAUUUUUAGACUAAACAAACUGAAUGAACAUGGUCUGUAGUUAAAUAAAAUGUAAAAUCUGCGAAAACAAGCCUCGGAUAUUAGAAUAAUCAAGUAAUUGAAAACAAAUUAUCAGUUUUUAUGUAAACAAGACUGGAAAACUUACAUUUAUCAUGUCUAGAGCACACGUCCUUAAGAAACUUAGCAAGAUUAGCGUAGUCGUUACUAAAUGAAAACCUAAGCUUGAGUAUCUCGUUGUUUGUGUAUAUGAACCUUAGAAUGUUAAAUAUUAGUUGUUGUGGCAAUUUUAAACAAUCCAACAAAAAAAUUUUGUAUUCUUCAUUGUUCUUGCUCCCAUUUUUAAUUUCGAGUUGUAUCAAUGACACUACAUGAUAUCUAUUGUUUUCUAUUGUUAUAAAUCACUCAGUAUCUAUUGCAAUAAACGUUGCCUCUGUGAUAAACGCUUUGAUCUUAUCAAAGAGGUCCGAAGGAAAUUCCUUAAUAAGAUCAUACUGGUACUCACGUAACAAGGGAAGGUUUUUGGGGUUUUCUUGUCCAUCUUCUUUUUCUCCUGUUUCACCUCCUUCCGUCGAGGCUAGUGGAGGUUAGGUAAGUUAAACUCUCUCGGAAGCAGAGGCAUGUGGUAGUGGAUAUAUUAUUUCAUGAUGUAAUAGUGGAUAUAUAGCAGAUAGAUAGGUAAUAUAAUUCAUUUCCCGCAUGUGAGAGUUUAUUUAAGAUGUUACGGAAAAUGAAAAAUGUAAUAUUUCAUGAUGUGCUAGUGGAUAUAUAGCAUAUAGGUAGAUAGGCAAGUGGAUAUAUUAUUUCAUGAUGUGCUAGUGGAUAUAUAGCAGAUAGGCAUGUACUAGUGGAUAUAUUAUUUCAUGAUGUGCUAGUAGAUAUAUAGCAGAUAGGUAAAAAUAUUACCUUUUUCAUUUUCUGUGACAUAUUAGAUGAAUUCUCACGUGCGGGUAAUGGAUUAUAUUGUCUCUGCUUCCGAGAGAGUUCAACCAACCGAACCUCUACUAGCUUCGACAGAAGGAGGUGAAACAGGAGAAAAAGAAGAUGGACAAGAAAACCCUAACAACCUUCUCUUGUUAUGUGAGUACCAGUAUGAUCUUGUUGAGGAAUUUUCACCGGACCUCUUUGAUAAGAUCAAAUCAUGCAUCGCAGAGGCAGCGUUUAUUGCAAUAGAUACUGAGUGGUUUAUGACAAUAGAAAGCAGUAGAUAUCCUGUAGUGUCAUUGAUACCUAUGAAGCACGGACACACAUAACAUGAAGCCGUGUCGUGUCCAUGUCGGAUGCACGUGUCGAACACGUAUCCUAUGUAUUUUUUAGGAUUUGCCUCGUGUCGGCGUGUCGGAUCCGUGUCCGUGCUAUAUAGAUUGAUACAACUCGAAAUUAUAAGUGGGAGCAAGAACAAUAAAGAAUACAAAUUCAUUUUGUUGGAUUGUUUGAAAUUGUUGCAACAACCAAUAUUUGAUAUUCUAAGGUUUAUAUACACAAACAACGGGACCCUCAAUCUUAAGUUUUCAUUUAGUAACGACUACGCUAAUCUUGCUAAGUUAAGGAUGUGUGUGCAAUGGACAUGAUAAAUGUAAGUUUUCCAGACUUGUUUACAUAAAGACUUGUAAUUUGUUUGCAAUUAUAUGAUUGUUCUGAUGUACGGGGCUUGUUUUCGUAGAUUUUUCCUUUUAUCUACCUGCAGACCAUGUUCAUGCAGUUUGUUCAGUGCAAAAAUCAAAUACAAUUCAAGUUUGUAGUGGAACAACUCCUCAGAUGCUAUCUCUAGAUGGUAAUGCAAACUUUCAACUAUUAGAAACUAAUAAAAACGUAAUAUUACAGCAAGGGCCUAUGUGACUGGAUAUAAGGAAAAUAUUUUAACAAUAGCUUAUUUCAUUAAGCUUUGAUUCCGUAUUUCCUAACCAGGUUGAACAGACGGGGUCCUGAGGUGAAAGACUUUUGAGUAGUUCCCAAAAAAUAUAUGCUGCAAAUGUCGAAGCUAUACUUGAUCUACUUCCUAAAUUAGAGACCAACAUUUGGCAAUGUUUGUUAAAGGCCUCUUACUUUUCCAUUUAUAAAAAAAAUAUUUUUUUGGUUAAUGUUUAAUCUGGUGUCGUUCAUGAUUAUUUUUACAGAUGGAUUGAGGGCCCAUGUGUACACAUAUCUGCCGUCGAAGGCUAAAAAAAUUACUUAAAAAUCAUGCUAUAAAAAAGAACUAUUUCAAAGUUGUAAACAACUAGGAAACAGUACUGUUUGUCCACCCACUGUGGUGCGUCCAUCAGCCAAUAUGGGUGUCCUGAAAUUUAUUGUUGAUGUAAGGCAUCCAUCCUCUUUUCUCUUUUAUAUUCCUCUCAGAUAAUCUGAGAUAAUUUUAUGAACUAUACAAUUUGUCUUCUCUCGUGAUCAUACAGAGCUACAAUAACGUCUUGGUUCACAAAUACUCCAUCAAUUGUGUACCGAAUUUGUUCCAACCAUUUUGUUUGCAAAAGUCCAUAAUUAGCAAAACAAUCCCUCAACACUCUAGUGUCUUGAUCAGUUACAUGAAUUCCUCGUCUUUUUUAACCUUCGACGACGGAUAUGUUUACACAUGGGCCCUCCAUCAAUCUGUAGAGAUAAUCAAGAGCGGCACUAGAUUAAACCUUAACAAAAAAUAUUUUUUCUAAAUGAAAAAGUAAGAGGCCCUUAGCAAACAUUGCCAAAUGUUGGUCUCAAAUUAAGGAAGUAGAUCAAGCAUAGCUGCGACAUUUGUAGUAUAUAUUUUUGGGAACUACUCAAAGGUCUUUCACCCCAGGACCCCGUCUGUUCAACCUAGAUAGGAAAUACGGCAACAAAGCUUAAUGAAAUAGGCUAUUGCUGAAAUAUUUUACUCAUAUCCAGUCACAUAGGCUUUUGUUGUAAUAUUGUGUUUUUUUAGUUUCUAAUAGUUGGCAGUUUGCAUUACCUUCGAGAGGUAACAUCUGAGGAGUUGUUGCACUACAAACUUAAAUUGUAUUUGAUUUUUGGACUGAACAAACUGCAUGAACAUGAUCUGUAGGUAGAUAAAAGGGAAAAUCUACAAAAACAAUCCCCGGAUAUUAGAACAAUCGUGUAAUUGCAAACAAAUUACUAGUUUUUAUGUAAACAAGACUGAAAAACUUACUAUCAUGUCCAGUGCACACACACGUCCUUAAUGAACUUAGUAAGAUUAGCGUAGUCGUUACUAAAUGAAAACUCAAGCUUGAGUGUCUCGUUGUUUGUGUAUAUGAACCUUAGAAUGUCAAAUAUUGGUUGUUGCGGUAAUUUCAAACAAUCCAACAAAAAGAUUUUGUAAUCUUCAUUAUUCUUCCUCCCACUUUUAAUUUUGAGUUAUAUCAAUGACACUAUAAGAUAUCUACUGUUUUCUAUUGUCAUAAACCACUCUGUAUCUAUAACAAUAAAUAAUACCUUUGUGAUGCACGCUAUGAUCUUAUCUUAGAGGUCUGACGAAAAUUUUUCAACAAGAUCAUACUGGUACUCACGUAAUAAGGGAAUGUUGUUGGGGUUUUCUUGUCCAUCUUCUUUCUCGUGUUUCACAUCCUUUCGUCGAGGCUAGUGGAGAUUCGGUGAGUUGAACUCUCUCGGAAGUAAAUGUAAUAUAAUUCAUUUCCCACACGUGAGAGUUCAUCCAAGACGUUGUUGUGGCUUUGUAUGAUCACGAGGGAAGUCAAAUUGUAUAGUUCAUAAAAUUAUCUCAGAUUAUCAGAGAGGAAUAUAAAAGAGGAGAUGGAUGCCUUCAACAAUAAAUUUCAGGACACCAAUAUUGGCUGAUUGAUGCGCUGCAGUGGGUGGACAGGCAGUUCUGUUUCCUAGUUGUUUACAACUUCGAAAUAGUUCUUUUUAGCAUGUUUUUUAAGUAAUUUUUUUUAGCCUUCGACGGCGGAUAUGUGUACACAUGGGCCCUCCAUCCAUCUGUAACGAUAACCAUGAGAGACACUAGAUUAAACCUUAACCAAAAAAUAUUAUUUCUAAAUGAAAAAAUAAGAGGCCCUUAACAAACAUUGUCAAAUGUUGGUCUCAAAUUUAGGAAGUAAAUCGAGUAUAGUUUCGACAUUUGCAGCAUAUAUUUUUUGGGAACUACUCAAAGGUCUUUCACUUCAGUACCACGUCUGUUCAACCUGGAUAGGAAAUACGUAAGCAAAUCUUAAUGAAAUAGGUUAUUGCUAAAAUAUUUUCUCAUAUCCAAUCACAUAGGCUCUUGUUGUAAUAUUACGUUUUUUAAGUUUCUAAUAGUUGGCAGUUUGUAUUACCUUUGAGGGGUAGCAUCUGAGGAGUUCCAUUGCAAAUUUGAAUUGUAUUUGAUUGUUGGACUGAACAAACUGUAUGAGCAUGGUCUGCAGGUCAAUAAAAAGGAAAAUCUGCGAAAACAAGCCUCGGAUAUUUGAACGAUCAUGUAAUUACAAACAAAUUAUCAGUUUUUAUGUAAACAAAACUGGAAAACUUACAUUUAUCAUGUCCAGUAAACCCACGUUCUAAAGGAACUCACCAAGUUUGGGUUUUCAUUUAGCAACGACUACGCUAAUCUUGCUAAGUUCCUUAAGGACGUGGGUGCACUGGACAUGAUAAAUGUAAGUUUUCUAGUUUUGUUUAUAUAAAAACUGGUAAUUUGUUUGCAAUUACAUGAUUGUUCUAAUAUCCGGGGUUUGUUUUCGCAGAUUUUCCUUUCAUAUAUCUCAACAUCUUUAAUCUAGAAAAAUAGCCGAGUGAUCCAUCGGAUCAACCCUUAGAAGUGAACUUAAUUCGGGAAAUACCUACCAAAUAGGUAGCAGAAGAGCAUGAGCUUGAUUGAGUUUUGAGAGAAGAUCUUUGAUGAAGAAAUCAAGUUAAGAGAGUUAGAAUCAAAAUAAGUCUUUAAGAAGAAAAGUACUGGGUUAGACACAAGUUUUAUUGAUCACAACUUCGAAGAACUAUUUGCUUAUGAAAUUUAGGAUCCAAGUAGAUAUGAAACAAUUGGCCUAUGAUGCUUCAACCAUGAACUUUGGGUCUGAGAAAAUUCUUAAAGAAGAGCUGAUUUUAUUAGGACAAACUUUCAUUCAUGUGGAACCUAAGUUCAAAUCUGAGACUAGAUUUCUAAUUGAUAGGCAUUGAAAAAUCAAGAUGCAUGACCCUCUAUUAACGUUCCAUGAAAUGCUACAAAAAUUAUUAAAAAUCAGAAUCUAAGCACAUCAUUGAGUUUUUCUUGUAAGACUUCUUUAAAAUUCAAGAUCGAAUUUUUAGCAAUAAGGCAAGAACUGAUAUAGAAUGUGAGCUUUUCAUUUUCAAUCCUUUAUUCUACAUUUUUACUCUGUGUCUCAUAAUAAUAAAAAUAAAAAAGAAUUUGAUAUUCUCUUGUUUGGAGAGUUUGUUUCAUUAAAAAAUAAAAAAUAAAAUAAAAAAGAGAGACCAAAUUUUUAUGGCUACAUCCUUCUCUCAUACCCAUUAGAAAUCAAGGUAAUUCCAAAAUUUGUCAUUUUAUCAUCAUUCAAGAUUGAACAAAUGUAAGUGUUUCAUUUUCUAUCUACUUUACUUUUUGUAUCAUAUAGUUUGCAUUAAGGAUAAUGUAAAAUUUAGGUAUUGGGUGAAGAUUUGUUAUAUUUUCUCUUUAUUUUAUCCUUUCAUUUAUCAUUUCUUUUCUUUCCCUAAAAAAUAAAAAAAUAUGCCACUUGCAAACUUGAUAAAGUUUGCAUUUAUCAUUUCUUUUCUAAAAAAAUAAAAAAAUAUGCCACUUGCAAACUUGAUAAAGUUAAUUAAUAAUGAUUUACUUGAUGAAUUUUUAAACUUUCUAAUUCGUAGUUAGUUUUAUAUUCAAGUUACUAUUUUAUGAUAACUCUAAAUAAAUUUUUAAGAAAUGAUUUUUAAAAUUUGGAUGAUUUUACCAACCCAGAUUGUAGGUUGGAGAAUAUGGAUCAUUCGUAGGGUGCUGGAAUAGGGUGCUGGAAUGUAGUGUUCACUUGACCUAAUGCUUGACUGUUUUCUAAGAGAGGACAUUCCUCUAAAACAUAGAUUCGGGAUAGGUGGUUAUGACCUCUCGAGGGCAGAAACUUGAUUAAUUUGAGCCGAGGCUUGUUCUUUAGUUUCAAGGACUUCCUGUAAAUGGUUCGUUAACCCUUUCGUUAAUCAUAGUCCAGUUUCAAAUUGAUAGAGGUGGAAGUGUACCUAUUAGUAUUUUGUAGUGUCGAUAAAGCACUAGUAGACAUGUCGCAUGCUUGGCGACACACUUCUGGAUCACGAGGUAUGACAGUUAAAAUUCAAGGAUCAGAACCAAUAAAAAGAACACAUGAAUCCUAUGUCCAAAUUCAUAAAAUGAUGAAAUUUUUUAUGGGUUUCACAAUGGUGAAACUUUUCUGUGAGGUAUAAAUUCAGCAUAAUUAAUCAGAUUUCCUUUUCCUUUUCGAUCCUAUAUAAAAAAUUUGGCGAUUUUUCUUUUUUUUUAUGCAUUCUGUCUACCUUUAAACCAUCUAUCUGAAUCGGGUCAUCAGAUGUAUAAAAGUGUUUACUUUGUGUUGUUCAACUUUUACUCUUUUUUUUUUUUGCUUUGCGACAAUUAAGAACCGAUACUUUUCGAGUAGUAUCUCGAUAAAUGAAAAUAUCUGUUGGAACUUCUGCCACAAUAGAUGCGCAGUGAGGUACUAGAUGCACAUU
Molecule: long non-coding RNA, 13055 nt
Organism: Asparagus officinalis (garden asparagus)
Lineage: Eukaryota; Viridiplantae; Streptophyta; Magnoliopsida; Asparagales; Asparagaceae
Exons: 2
Source: RefSeq, a predicted model, not a curated record